CAAUGAAAAGCCAAAUAGAGGCUUUUAACUGUUAAUUAAAUUAUUGUAAUUACAUUACUUCAUUGG
This 66-nucleotide transfer RNA is filed under the name Ascarosepion mestus. RNAcentral describes it as "tRNA-Asn". The record is from RNAcentral. Lineage: Eukaryota; Metazoa; Mollusca; Cephalopoda; Sepiida; Sepiidae.